This 245-nucleotide ribosomal RNA is filed under the name uncultured Gardnerella sp. Its description in RNAcentral is "partial 16S ribosomal RNA". It matches the Rfam family "Bacterial small subunit ribosomal RNA", at positions 108 to 353 of the family's 1533-position model. Lineage: Bacteria; Bacillati; Actinomycetota; Actinomycetes; Bifidobacteriales; Bifidobacteriaceae. The record is from RNAcentral.
GAGUAAUGCGUGACCAACCUGCCCCAUGCUCCAGAAUAGCUCUUGGAAACGGGUGGUAAUGCUGGAUGCUCCAACUUGACGCAUGUCUUGUUGGGAAAGUGUUUAGUGGCAUGGGAUGGGGUCGCGUCCUAUCAGCUUGUAGGCGGGGUAAUGGCCCACCUAGGCUUCGACGGGUAGCGGCCUGAGAGGGCGGACGGCCACAUUGGGACUGAGAUACGGCCCAGACUCCUACGGGAGGCAGCAUU